AAUGAACGCUGGCGGCAUGCCUAACACAUGCAAGUCGAACGAGAUCUUCGGGUCUAGUGGCGCACGGGUGCGUAACGCGUGGGAAUCUGCCCUUUGGUUCGGAAUAACAGUUGGAAACGACUGCUAUUACCGGAUGAUGACGAAAGUCCAAAGAUUUAUCGCCAGAGGAUGAGCCCGCGUCGGAUUAGCUAGUUGGUGUGGUAAAGGCGCACCAAGGCGACGAUCCUUAGCUGGUCUGAGAGGAUGAUCAGCCACACUGGGACUGAGACACGGCCCAGACUCCUACGGGAGGCAGCAGUGGGGAAUAUUGGACAAUGGGCGAAAGCCUGAUCCAGCAAUGCCGCGUGAGUGAUGAAGGCCUUAGGGUUGUAAGGCUCUUUUACCCGGGAUGAUAAUGACAGUACCGGGAGAAUAAGCUCCGGCUAACUCCGUGCCAGCCGCCGCCGUAA
RNAcentral lists this ribosomal RNA (449 nucleotides) under uncultured bacterium. RNAcentral's name for it is "partial 16S ribosomal RNA". It matches the Rfam family "Bacterial small subunit ribosomal RNA", at positions 29 to 523 of the family's 1533-position model. The record is from RNAcentral.